RNAcentral lists this ribosomal RNA (259 nucleotides) under uncultured bacterium. RNAcentral describes it as "partial 16S ribosomal RNA". It matches the Rfam family "Bacterial small subunit ribosomal RNA", at positions 524 to 785 of the family's 1533-position model. The record is from RNAcentral.
UACGAAGGGGCUAGCGUUGCUCGGAAUUACUGGGCGUAAAGGGUGCGUAGGCGGGUCUUUUAAGUCAGGGUGAAAUCCUGGAGCUCAACUCCAGAACUGCCUUUGAUACUGAAGAUCUUGAGUUCGGGAGAGGUGAGUGGAACUGCGAGUGUAGAGGUGAAAUUCGUAGAUAUUCGGAGGAACACCAGUGGCGAAGGCGGCUUACUGGCUCGAUACUGACGCUGAGGUGCGAAAGCGUGGGGAGCAAACAGGGAGUUAA